Long non-coding RNA from Gopherus evgoodei (Goodes thornscrub tortoise), 94 nucleotides. RefSeq lists it as uncharacterized. The record is from RefSeq and is a predicted model, not a curated record. The transcript has 2 exons. Lineage: Eukaryota; Metazoa; Chordata; Testudines; Testudinidae.
AGUUACUGGUGAGGAAGAAACUGAGGAGCGUGCUCGGGUGACCUUGAGUAAUGCAGCCGGAUCACCGGUCUCACGUCGUUUGCAGAACUUGAGA